RNAcentral lists this long non-coding RNA (955 nucleotides) under Ursus thibetanus thibetanus. Its description in RNAcentral is "lncRNA (ENSUTTG00000010919.1)". The record is from RNAcentral. Lineage: Eukaryota; Metazoa; Chordata; Mammalia; Carnivora; Ursidae.
AAUUUCCACCUGCUGCUUUGGUUUGGUUCUCAGGGUGUUCUGCUACUCGGUCUUGGCUGGGUUUCCAUGAAUACUAGCCAGCGUCACAUCUCUGUCCUGACCACCCCAUCCCCACAGUGGGCUGGCAUGCUUGGCUCAACCCCAGGCCUGUGCGCACUUGGCUGCUGGUCAAACUUGGACCUCCAGAGCCCUGACCUUUGGUCCUUGCUCCCCUGGGCCUGCGUGCAGCGGGAUCUUCCAGAGCUGUCGCUGUAAGGACAGUGAGGACCGAGUGACAGAAGCCACUGACGCCAUCAAUGCCAGGGGUCACUGCCAGAGGGUCUCAAAGCCUUCUCCAGAAAGCAGCGGAUACCUCCCAAAUUCCCACUACCUUGUUCUCUUCUGGGUUGGAACCUGGGCACCACCUCCUGCUGGCUGUGUGAUCCCUAGCAGCACCGAGAGCCUCACCGGUCGGGUUGGUACUGCCAGUCGCAGGGGCCUGCAGGCUGGUGUGAGGUCUGAGAUGGGGCUCCAGCCCUGUGGCAUCCAGCUGUUCUGCCUCCAUCCUUAUUCCUUAUGGGGCGAUUUCUCCGAGUGGCAGGGUUGGCCACGAGGAGCGGCAGAUGAAGCAGAAACAGCUCUGGUGUGCGCUGCCCAGGGGCUGGCCACGAGCCGUGUGUGGUACCUUAUGGAGCAUUUCCUCCAUCAUGGAAAGUUCUAGCAGUAGUGGUGCUGUAGAUUUCUGUCCAGCUUCACUCCACAAGCUGGGUGCUGCAGAGGGUCACUGAGGAGACUAAGAAAGGGUCCAGUCCCCAAAGAACUCAUUCACUUGCUCAUCAUGCAUUAAUCAAGGACCUUCUAGGUGCCAAGAGGAUGUUGCGAUAACCAAGACGGACUUGUUCUCUGCCUUCACAGAGCUUCCUGUUCCGCGGGUAGAGAAAUGUCUGCCGUAACAGAGACCCAAAGUAAUACUAGC